UGGGGAAUUUUGGACAAUGGGCGCAAGCCUGAUCCAGCAAUGCCGCGUGCAGGAUGAAGGCCUUCGGGUUGUAGACUGCUUUUGUACGGAACGAAACGGUCUUUUCUAAUACAGAAGGCUAAUGACGGUACCGUAAGAAUAAGCACCGGCUAACUACGUGCCAGCAGCCGCGGUAAUACGUAGGGUGCGAGCGUUAAUCGGAAUUACUGGGCGUAAAGCGUGCGCAGGCGGUUAUGCAAGACAGAUGUGAAAUCCCCGGGCUCAACCUGGGAACUGCAUUUGUGACUGCAUAGCUGGAGUGCGGCAGAGGGGGAUGGGAUUCCGCGUGUAGCAGUGAAAUGCGUAGAUAUGCGGAGGAACACCGAUGGCGAAGGCAAUCCCCUGGGCCUGCGCUGACGCUCAUGCACGAAAGCGUGGGGAGCAAACA
RNAcentral lists this ribosomal RNA (427 nucleotides) under uncultured bacterium. Its description in RNAcentral is "bacterial SSU rRNA". It matches the Rfam family "Bacterial small subunit ribosomal RNA", at positions 355 to 774 of the family's 1533-position model. The record is from RNAcentral.